Botryobasidium botryosum FD-172 SS1 is the source of this 72-nucleotide transfer RNA. It matches the Rfam family "tRNA". From Rfam's summary of the family: Transfer RNA (tRNA) molecules are approximately 80 nucleotides in length. Their secondary structure includes four short double-helical elements and three loops (D, anti-codon, and T loops). Further hydrogen bonds mediate the characteristic L-shaped molecular structure. tRNAs have two regions of fundamental functional importance: the anti-codon, which is responsible for specific mRNA codon recognition, and the 3' end, to which the tRNAs corresponding amino acid is attached (by aminoacyl-tRNA synthetases). tRNAs cope with the degeneracy of the genetic code in two manners: having more than one tRNA (with a specific anti-codon) for a particular amino acid; and 'wobble' base-pairing, i.e. permitting non-standard base-pairing at the 3rd anti-codon position. The record is from Rfam. NCBI's taxonomy places the organism in Eukaryota, Fungi, Basidiomycota, Agaricomycetes, Cantharellales, Botryobasidiaceae.
GCCCUUAUAGCUCAGUGGUAGAGCGUCGCACUCGUAAUGCGAAGGUCGUUAGUUCAAAUCUGACUGGGGGCA